RNAcentral lists this ribosomal RNA (497 nucleotides) under uncultured bacterium. Its description in RNAcentral is "partial 16S ribosomal RNA". It matches the Rfam family "Bacterial small subunit ribosomal RNA", at positions 28 to 507 of the family's 1533-position model. The record is from RNAcentral.
GAUGAACGCUGGCGGCGUGCCUAAUACAUGCAAGUCGAGCGAACAGACGAGGAGCUUGCUCCUCUGACGUUAGCGGCGGACGGGUGAGUAACACGUGGAUAACCUACCUAUAAGACUGGGAUAACUUCGGGAAACCGGAGCUAAUACCGGAUAACAUGUUGAACCGCAUGGUUCAACAGUGAAAUACGGUUUUGCUGUCACUUAUAGAUGGAUCCGCGCCGCAUUAGCUAGUUGGUAAGGUAACGGCUUACCAAGGCAACGAUGCGUAGCCGACCUGAAAGGGUGAUCGGCGACACUGGAACUGAGACACGGUCAAGACGCCUACGGGAGGCAGCAGUAGGGAAUCGUCCGCAAUGGGCGAAAGCCUGACGGAGCAACGCGGCGUGAGUGAAGAAGGUGUUCGGAUCGUAAAACUCUGUUAUUAGGGAAGAACAAAUGUGUAAGUAACUAUGCACGUAUUGACGGUACCUAAUCAGAAAGCCACGGCUAACUACGUG